GGGAGACAGUAAACAGACUGGCCAAGAGACAUGACUUCAUCAAAACUCUGACUCUUGUGGAAUUUAACGGUUCGGAGAGCAGCACUUUGAGUCAUCGCACACCUUCAGGGAUCCACUUAGGAGAACGAGGUAAAACUUGAACUUUGUGGAAUAUGUUCUGAAAAAAUGGCAUCACACUAAAAUGUUCUGUAUGAGGGGAAAGGAAGACUAUGAAUUUUUAUUGUCCUUUGAAUUAAAUUGGCAUGUGAGUCAUCAUCCAGGCAAAACAACAUUAAGCCCUACCUCUUCCUUUCAAGAAAAAUUUUCCACGUCCUCCAGUUGAAGUCCCUUCUACUUUUUCAUGAAGAUUCCAGAGUGGCCAUCCUAAGUCCCGCAGGUGGCAUGUUUUCCAAAAUAUCCAGCUCUCCAGUAACACAAAAACCCAUUAAAUCAGACUCCUUUAGCAGAGCAGAAGGAUAUGAAAGUCAGGUGCAUCUGGAGAAGUGCUUUUCUCCUGCUGCUAUGCAGAUCAGCCAAAAACUAUACAUACGAAAUCUCAGAGAAAUGGAUGAAGUUAAGAAGAUACUCAAGUCUCAGUGAGUAGUAAACACUAUAACGUGAUGGAAAGCACAGCAAUAGCAGCAGGGUGGCAACAUCUUCGACUGCAGCAAGCACCAAUGCAGCAGCCAUGGACACAGAAAUGAAGUAAAAGAGCUGCUUACCUUUGAAAGACCUCAAGCACACAAGAGAUCUCCAGAGAGAUCCCCUUACCUCCAAUGCCAACCCUUAAAUGAGGUCUGGGAAGGGACGGAUCCUGACUCCACCCCUUCUGGUCACUGAGGUGCACUGCAUGCAGCUGAGCUCCCCUAGGUUGACCCUGCCUUCCCACCAGGUGCUCAAUCAUUGCUUCAAGCUGUGACAGCAUUUCCACUACAGCAUCCCAAAACAACUUCCUGAAGCAGUAGGUUCCAAAGCA
Molecule: long non-coding RNA, 955 nt
Organism: Gallus gallus (chicken)
Lineage: Eukaryota; Metazoa; Chordata; Aves; Galliformes; Phasianidae
Source: Ensembl